UACGUAGGGUGCAAGCGUUGUCCGGAAUUAUUGGGCGUAAAGAGCUCGUAGGCGGCUUGUCGCGUCGAAUGUGAAAACCUGCAGCUCAACUGCAGGCUUGCAUUCGAUACGGGCAGGCUCGAGUUCGGUAGGGGAGACUGGAAUUCCUGGUGUAGCGGUGAAAUGCGCAGAUAUCAGGAGGAACACCAAUAGCGAAGGCAGCUCGCUGGGACGUUACUGACACUAAGGCGCGAAAGCGUGGGGAGCGAACAGG
Molecule: ribosomal RNA, 253 nt
Filed under: uncultured bacterium
Lineage: Bacteria
Description: partial 16S ribosomal RNA
Rfam family: Bacterial small subunit ribosomal RNA
Source: RNAcentral